This 505-nucleotide long non-coding RNA is filed under the name Apteryx rowi (Okarito brown kiwi). RNAcentral describes it as "lncRNA (ENSARWG00000012138.1)". Lineage: Eukaryota; Metazoa; Chordata; Aves; Apterygiformes; Apterygidae. The record is from RNAcentral.
AUGACAGUGUGCAAAGAAGGAGUUUGUCAGCCUCGAGAGAAUAAGAGAGCAGGUCCUGCACCCCUCCGAAAAUGGCAUGUGGAAGUGGUUUCGAAAGCGCCGCCUUUGGUCUCCUUUCUGCAGGAUCCCUGCUCCCCACAAAUCAUACUGUGGAUCCAAAGCAGGCUCCUUAAUACUUGCGUGAAACGAGGGCGAAGACUAGACCCGUUGUCCCCAUGUUGGGAAAGAGCACCCUUCCCUUCCCCAGCAGGGUUGCCCGGUGCAGCUAGCGUCGUGUGGCCACCAGCUACCCAUGAAUCACAGCUGAAAAACUGCUUUGCCUGAGCCGUAAUAAUCUGAGACAGCAAAGGGAGAAGUGAUUUCAAUCAUGAUGCAAUCAGUUAAAGACGACUUCAAAUGCAACGUUGGGGAGUUUUCCUUUGGGGAAAAAUGCUCUUGUUGAUUUUUGAGUAAACAAAUUAACAAGUUGGCUUUGUUUAAAAAAUAAAAGGGAUCUGCUGGACCA